AUUGAACCCUGGCGGCAGGCCUAACACAUGCAAGUCGAGCGAGCGGCGGACGGGUGAUUAAUGUCUGGGAAACUGCCUGAUGGAGGGGGCUAACUACUGGAAACGGUAGCUAAUACCGCAUACCAUUAGACGUGCGCAGGUGGGAUUAGCUAGUAGGUGGGGUAACGGCCCACCCAGGCGACGAUCCCUAGCUGGUCUGAGAGGAUGAUCAGCCAAACUGGAACUGAGACACGGUCCAGACUCCUACGGGAGGCAGCAGUGGGGAAUAUUGCACAAUGGGCGCAAGCCUGAUGCAGCCAGGCCGCGUGUGUGAAGAAGGCCUUCGGGUUGGAAAGCACUUUCAGCGGGGAGGCGUUACCCGCAGAAGAAGCACCGGCUAACUCCGUGCCAGCAGCCGCGGUAAUAC
Molecule: ribosomal RNA, 406 nt
Filed under: uncultured bacterium
Lineage: Bacteria
Description: partial 16S ribosomal RNA
Rfam family: Bacterial small subunit ribosomal RNA
Source: RNAcentral